This 301-nucleotide ribosomal RNA is filed under the name uncultured bacterium. RNAcentral's name for it is "partial 16S ribosomal RNA". It matches the Rfam family "Bacterial small subunit ribosomal RNA", at positions 509 to 807 of the family's 1533-position model. The record is from RNAcentral.
CAGUCGCCACGGUAAUACGUAGGGUGCAAGCGUUAAUCGGAAUUACUGGGCGUAAAGCGUGCGCAGGCGGUUAUAUAAGACAGAUGUGAAAUCCCCGGGCUCAACCUGGGAACUGCAUUUGUGACUGUAUAGCUAGAGUACGGCAGAGGGGGACGGAAUUCCGCGUGUAGCAGUGAAAUGCGUAGAUAUGCGGAGGAACACCGAUGGCGAAGGCAAUCCCCUGGGCCUGUACUGACGCUCAUGCACGAAAGCGUGGGGAGCAAACAGGAUUAGAUACCCGCGUAGUCCCUGUCUCUUAUAC